Transfer RNA from Camelus ferus (Wild Bactrian camel), 73 nucleotides. It matches the Rfam family "tRNA". Rfam says of the family: Transfer RNA (tRNA) molecules are approximately 80 nucleotides in length. Their secondary structure includes four short double-helical elements and three loops (D, anti-codon, and T loops). The record is from Rfam. Lineage: Eukaryota; Metazoa; Chordata; Mammalia; Artiodactyla; Camelidae.
GAGGGUAUAGCUCAAGUGGUAGAGCACAUGCUUAGCAUGCAUGAGGUCCUGGGUUCAAUCCCCUGUACCUCCU